UACGUAGGUGGCAAGCGUUGUCCGGAUUUACUGGGCGUAAAGAGCGCGCAGGCGGUCGGAUUAGUCGCGUGUGAAAGCCCCCGGCUCAACUGGGGAGGGUCACGCGAUACUGUUCGACUCGAAGGCAGGAGAGGGAAGUGGAAUUCCCGGUGUAGUGGUGAAAUGCGUAGAUAUCGGGAGGAACACCAGUGGCGAAGGCGACUUCCUGGCCUGUUCUUGACGCUGAGGCGCGAAAGCUAGGGGAGCAAACGGG
RNAcentral lists this ribosomal RNA (253 nucleotides) under uncultured bacterium. RNAcentral describes it as "partial 16S ribosomal RNA". It matches the Rfam family "Bacterial small subunit ribosomal RNA", at positions 524 to 776 of the family's 1533-position model. The record is from RNAcentral.